CAGAGUCACGUGGCUGGGUGAAUGAAGAGGAGAAAAUGGCAGUACACACAGCAGAAGGGUGUAGGAAGAGACUAGUCUGCUGAAUAAAAACACGGGAAGAAGCUGAGGUUCAGAGAGGGUGAAUACUUUGUCCAAGGUCAAAUGGCUGCUAAGAGGCAAGCUGCAGGUCGGAACCCUGGGAAGCUUGACUCAGAAGCUCCUACCCACUCUAUCUAUCAUUCUGCUUAAUGGGCAGUGAACCUAGAAUUAUCCAAACUAAAGUCCCCUGAACUAACCAAAGUAUGUCAAGCAGAUCAAUACUCGGAUUUUUAAAGCCUGACUGCUUGAUUCCUUUAAGGCACUAACUUGCAAAUCCAUGUUAAAGAUUCUGUAUCUCAAUGUUGCCAGAGGCUCUUGGAACCAUUUUAUGUGACUUGUAUAUCUGUUAAUGUGACUCCUGUUAAGAAUCAAUGGUUCUGCCCAUUACAAAUUCCUAUUCUUUGAGGUUUAUGACUAUGCUGUAAAAUUCUGCUCUGAGGUGAAGUUUUCCACAUAAAAAUUAAGCCCUGGAAUUUGGCCUUUAGAAAACAAAACAGUUCAUUUUAAGUAAGUUUGCUACACUUAAAGUCAUGAAUGAGGAUUUUAAAAUAACGCUGACUCCUGUAGACUCAAAACAUAG
This is a long non-coding RNA of Panthera uncia (snow leopard), 658 nucleotides long. RefSeq lists it as uncharacterized. NCBI's taxonomy places the organism in Eukaryota, Metazoa, Chordata, Mammalia, Carnivora, Felidae. The transcript is spliced from 3 exons. The record is from RefSeq and is a predicted model, not a curated record.